GUGUCAUAGAGGAGGGGCCACUCUGUGUGUGAGUUUGUGUGUCAGUCCUUCAUGUCAGCAUUCAUCAGUUCGUUUGUCACUGGCAGAAACUUUGAUGGCAGCAGCACAGUUGACCAUGAGUGGUGUCACAACUGCCAAAGGCUUAGUUAUGAUUUUGACUCUGCUGUGUGUGCUCCAUCUUUCAAGUGCACUGAUAAACAAGGACGAACUGGAGGAGCUGAAGGGAAACAUUGAAACAUUACAAAAGGAAACAGCGAGAAGGAAGG
Molecule: long non-coding RNA, 266 nt
Organism: Pundamilia nyererei
Lineage: Eukaryota; Metazoa; Chordata; Actinopteri; Cichliformes; Cichlidae
Exons: 3
Source: RefSeq, a predicted model, not a curated record